RNAcentral lists this ribosomal RNA (253 nucleotides) under uncultured bacterium. Its description in RNAcentral is "partial 16S ribosomal RNA". It matches the Rfam family "Bacterial small subunit ribosomal RNA", at positions 524 to 776 of the family's 1533-position model. The record is from RNAcentral.
UACGUAGGGGGCAAGCGUUGUCCGGAUUCAUUGGGCGUAAAGAGCGUGUAGGCGGCCAGGUAGGUCGGUUGUGAAAACUGGAGGCUCAACCUUCAGAGGUCGACCGAAACCAUCUGGCUAGAGUCCGGGAGAGGAGAGUGGAAUUCCUGGUGUAGCGGUGAAAUGCGUAGAGAUCAUGAGGAAGACCAGUGGCGAAGGCGGGUCUCUGGACCGUAACUGACGCUGAGGAGCGAAAGCGUGGGGAGCGAACAGG